CUCACGCUCCAUUAAAUCUCCCUUUCGCUUAAAUCCAUCAGGCUCCCACUCAUACAUCACACACCACCGCACAGCAACUCCUUUUCCUUUCUUUCUCUUCAGUUCCCAAUUCGUAUUUAUUAUGCCCUAAUCAGAGCACCGUUCAUCAAUGGCGUUUGGGCUCGCGUUUCUUCUCAGAGUGCGGUUCUGUUGCAGCAAUGGAGUUUGAGCGCCCAACCGCCGCACCGCUCAACCCCGCCAUGACCUACGACGAGGCCUCCAUGGUGCGCAACAAGAGCUUCGUCAACGCCUUGCAGGGUGCCAAUUCAGCAGAAUGAAUUAUGAGCAUGGAGGUAAAUUUUAUUUUGAAUUCCCUUGUCACCUGUUCUUUGUGUUUUUUACAUCUUAAUUUUGCUGCUCACUUGGAAGUAGAUACCUUACAUGUGGGAGUUUUCUGCAGUAUUCACGUGUUGACAUUUGCUUGUAUUUGGGGUUGAGUAUUUAUUAUUAUUUCUAUGUCUAUUUUGUUGUUAUUUUGGUGGAGAAUUUUAGUCCUGAUUGAGCUGAAAAGGAGAAUAAGAUAUUUCUGCAAUGAAGCUUCGUUUUCUUAUAUAUUUUAAAAUUGGAAUCUCUUGGCGAGGUUUAUAACAUGCCUUUUUCCAAUUUAAUACAAAAACAUAUAAAAUUGGCCUUUAUUUAUGCUAAUGUUAGAUCAUAAUUCUAACUAAUUAAUUAAUCAUUGGGAUAAAGAAAUAUAGGGACUAAUCUUGAGGGUAACCCUACAUAUAUUCAAAUUAAUUGUAAAAUACAGUUGCUGCUAUAUUAUUAAAAUUGUCAUGUAUUCUAACACUGAUCAACUUUCACUGUGUGUUCUUUUGUACUAACAAUCCCCAUUCAAUUUUGUUUGGCUUUAUUAAAUUAAUGUUAAAACACUUUCUGUGCUAUUAUCAGGAAAAAAGUUAUGAUUACAAGUGCCAGUCAUAAUAACAUCCAGUUUUUAAUCAUAUGCAUCUAGGUUGGUAGCUCUGUAUUCUUUCUUCUUGUUUGUUUCAGGUAAAUGACAUGAAUAUUGGGAGCAGGAAAAUAUAAGAGAAGAGAUGCCAGCUUGUCGGCAGUUAUUCAACAUUUUUCACCCCUAUGAUCCAGUAGCAUACAGGGUUCCAAUUCAGCAGAAUGAAUUGUGAGCAUGGAGCCUUGCAAAGGCACUAUGCUGUACUGCAGGCAUUAGCAUUGGAAGAGGAUGAUGUUCACAAACGAAAGAUGAAACAUUACCUGACGAGGAAGGCUUGGCCAGAUAUUUUGCAAAAUUUAUGAGUAAAAGUGAAGUUAUUUUAAAGCAAGGCAACUAAUGCAGCAAAGUUUGUCUCAUGGAGCAUCUAGUCCGAAAUUGUCCAAAAUGCUAGAAGUAUUGCUGGAGCAUUUCAGUAAAUGACAAGAAUAUUGGGAGCAGGAAAAUAUAAGAGAAGAGAUGCCAGCUUGUCAGCAGUUAUUCAAUAUUUUUCACCCCUAUGAUCCAGUAGCAUACAGUGCUAUCCUUCUACAUAAUGAAAAUUCUAGGUUUCACAUUGAUGCUUGUCUCGAUCCUUUAAGUCCAACUGGUCAGCAUUCUAAGGGUUUUGUGGAAAUACAUUCAACCCAGCAUGAGGAUUGUUCUGAAUCCAUUGGUGGUACACUUUUUCUAUUUGAUAGAAAGGCUUUGAGGUACUUUAGAAAGUAUGGAUAUAAUUGGAGAAAGAAAAAGGAUGGAAAGACUGUGAAAGAAGCUCAUCAAAAGUUGAAGUUAAUUUCUCUCAAGCCAUAGUGGUGUCUAGUGCAAAGUGGCCCCUGCCCACUAUGAGUUGCUCUAGCAGGAUGAUUUGGUACAAUGGCAGUUGCAGACCUAAUAGCAGGCUGAACAGUGGCCUUAUCAGGCUCUAUAAUGUCACUGUUGAUUCCAGAGAGACUGAAACACCUCAUAUCCUGGGACCUGGGGUUAUGAAGUAAAAAGAUUAUAUUCUUUGUUGACUAUCAAAGAAUCUGCAUCAGACAUUCCUAAAGAUGUCUACUGCAAAGUCAGUUUGGGAGUUGUUUUCUUUUAGGGUGCCAAUUCAGCAGAAUGAAUUAUGAGCAUGAAGUUAUAGGUAUCCCUGGAUCCUGAACUACUUUCACCCAAUGGUUUUUAACAUACUGACAAAAAAAUCGCAGGCCUGCAAUGCUCAUUGACUCGGACUUUAUUGUGUACCUUUAUACGAUACCUUGGGUAUGUCACCCCUUCGUUAACUUGUUUCUACACCAUGUUCAUGCUUAUACUGAAAUGCAAUUAAAAUUUACUUUUGUCAUCUAUUAUUGUACAAAGAGUUGCUGCUAUCAAGGAACAUUUAUCUCAAAAGCUUUGAUUUUGUGAGAAAAGUUGCAACAUUUGUGGCCAUGUAACAUUUUUUUCUACUUAAUCCUUAUUCAUAUCCCUGACCCUAAUCAUAAUCCUUACCCUAACCCUAAUCAUAACUCUUCUCCUAAUCAUAGCUUUAUAUAUAAGCAUAACCCUACUACUAACCCUAACUCUAACUCUAUAACUAUCGACCUUAUCCUCACUGUGACAUCCCAAUUAUAUUAUAAAGAUAUAUAAUAUAAUAAAGGCGUCAUCAUGAAUAAUACUAGAAAGCAGUUAAGAGUCAUCCUUAAACAGUACAAUUUGAAAACUUGGAGUACUAGAGUUUCUCCCUUAAAAUACAAAGAAUUUAAAACUUAAAACAUGACAAAGUUUCUUCAAAAUAUCCUAGGAUAACAUAAUUAAAGCCUAGAGAACUAGGCAGUAGCAUUUCCUUCCCCGUCAAGAGCUGUUUCCAAAGUAUCUCCUUGCCAUCUGCUCCCAUCCAAGUGGAUGAUCAUCGCAAAGGAAACAAACGCAAACAUGGCACAAACACAAGCAAUUGCAAGGGUGAACUAAUUAUAUAAAAACCAUGCAAUUAAGAGCAUGUACAUACAAGAUAUUAAUUUAAAAAGCAAACAAGAUAAAACAUUCAUCCUAUCAUGUUAAAUACUAGACUUGACUCGUCUGGACUUUAAAAUGAUAGUUGAACUAUGGCGGGUCAUGCACCCGUAGUGGCUUGUGAUACUUAGGUUCCACUGCCUUGGGCUCCCCUGCCCUGUCACACUCACGAGGUUAGUCUGUUCCGUGCCCUGGAUAAUUUGAGUAAUUAGGGUUUAGGGUUUAUUUUGAGUUCUAAUAGGGGUUUGUAUGUUAAAAAUUUCACAAGGCAUGGAUAUAAGCUGCAGCAUUCUUUGAGUUCAGCCUAAAGGUAUAAAGACCAUGACUAGUCAGAGGAGUUAUUUAAUGUAAAUGUCAGAAGGUCAAAUCUUUACCAUUAGAUCAUAAGUGAAUAGUAUGGACUAGAAGGUCAAAUCUUUACCAUUAGAUCAUAAGUGAAUAGUAUGGACUAGAAAGUAAAAACCAUGCAUAUUUUUUUAAAUGACAUGUGACUUUUAAGAUUGACAAACAUGAAACAACAAUGUAUUGGUUUUUUAUUUGGUGACAUUUGGUUGGCGUUUCUGCAAAAGAUUGUUUUUCUGUUUGUUCUGUGCCCAUGAAGUAAACUGAAUUCAACAUAGUAAUAAUUUAUGCUUCUCCUUUUGAAUUAUUUUUCUCUUAUUUUGGUGUGAUUGUAUAUGAUAAACUUCUCCAUGCACAUUUAUAUUUUUUAUUACAAUAGUCUUUUGAUAUGUUUCUUCAUUUUUAUUUUUCACUACCCUCAUUUUGUUGUGCCUAAAUUAUGCCUGAAGUUGCUGCAGACAAAGACAUAGUCAUUUAGUCCUAUAUAUUUAAAAAAAAAUAAAUUAUUCUUUUUCAAAUUCAAACAAAAUUUAAUUUGUGUAUAAAUUUUUUAUAAAAUUUUUUAUACAAAUUUAUAUUUUUUUAUUAGAAAAAUAAAAAAAUUGCGAAUUAGUGUCACAUAGGACUAACGAAAUUAAAAAUCAAGAAACUCAUUUAAAUUUUUUUUAUGCAAUUAAAUAGUAAAUGAAAUCAUUUAAUCUAAAUAAUGAAUACAUAAAUUAUAAAAAUUAACAUUUUAUUAAUAAAUAUUUUUUUGAACGUAAACUAUAAAAGUAGUAUGCGAAAAUAUCUUAUCAGAGGAUAUGCGGCUUGUGCAUUUUGAUUUCAAUAUGCAUUUUGAUUUCAAUAGGUAGGAAGGCUUUUAAUUUCAUAACAUUUCAAUAUGCGGCUUGUGUAGCUAGUUUCUUUUACUGUUUUAAGAUCUUUCAGUUUUAUUUUGCUUUUAUAAAAUUGUAGUGAUGUUAAGUACAAUAUCUUUGCUGUUUUAAGAGGAGUUGUUUUAGUUUCUAUCCUGUUUUUAGUAUUUUGUUUCAUAUUUGAUAUUGAGAUUCUUAGUUAUUUGUUGUUUUUUAGAUAGUGAGUUUCUAUCCUCUUUUCUUAACUUUCUUUUAUAGUUUCAAACUUGUUUAGGUUGAUACAUUGAUGUCUUAGUUGAGUUUUACAGAUUAUGCAUGAUUACUUGUCUAGUAUUUUUAGUUCUUGAUUGUGAAUGAUUUUUUGAGUUCUUAAUUUGAGUUGAUAGUUUUUAGCUAGAUUUUACAAUUUUUUUCAAUAGAAUUGAAUAGUUUUUACAUGAAAUGUGAGUUUUAAACUAGUUUUGACAAGAUUUUAUUCUUUGUGAGAUUUGAGCCUUGCCUUACUUUCUUUCAUUGUGUAAUGCAUUCCUGUUAAUUUACAUUUCGGAACUUGUGUUGUUUAAGUUAUGCAUUCACGAAUGAUUUAUGCAUUCGUUUUUCAUAACACCUCUCUUUGAUUUUAACCUUGAUUUUUCUCUCUUUUUACCUCACUUAUACCGUGGCCACAUUACAAGCUUUGAUUGAAGUCCUAUUGAUCUUGAGUGUAUUUUUAAUUCGAUUGGUGUGAUUAGAAGUUUUUUAAGUUUAUGAUAAUGUGUUGAGAGUUAAACACCUAGAUGUUGAAAUCUGACAUUAUUCUUAUAUUGACAUAAUAUAGAAAGAGACUGAAACACCUGAACUGGAAAGAGGUGCUGUUGGGGCCAUUCAAGAUUUGUAUGAUGUAUGCAAUUUGAUGUCCUCUCUAUGAAUGAGAUUUGUCACAGUUGUUGUCUGCAUACUUUGAUUUUUAAAUAUUCUUGCUUGCAUGCAUUAGGGACAAUUAAUGUUGAUUUUUCUUUUCCUUUCUUUUUAUCUAAGGGAGAAAUUAUGAGACUUGUAGUUUACUGGCAAAGGCUAUGGAUGAAGGGCUAUAUUGUUUGAGAAAAAGGCUCCAAAAAUACAAAUUUAGUAUGCUCCAAUCAUAUUUUUCUA
This is a long non-coding RNA of Vigna radiata var. radiata (mung bean), 5277 nucleotides long. RefSeq lists it as uncharacterized. The record is from RefSeq and is a predicted model, not a curated record. Lineage: Eukaryota; Viridiplantae; Streptophyta; Magnoliopsida; Fabales; Fabaceae. The transcript has 12 exons.